Molecule: long non-coding RNA, 1337 nt
Organism: Eriocheir sinensis (Chinese mitten crab)
Lineage: Eukaryota; Metazoa; Arthropoda; Malacostraca; Decapoda; Varunidae
Exons: 2
Source: RefSeq, a predicted model, not a curated record
UUCCCUUCCUUUCCCAUCCCAUCCCAUCCCUUUCCUUCCCUUCCCAUCCCUUCCUUUUCCUUCCAUCUCCUUCCUUGCUGUUACUUUCCAUUCUCUUCCCUUCCAAUCCCUUUCCUUUCUUUCCCUUACCUUUUCUUUCGUUCCUUACCCUUCCCUUCUUUUUUCUUCUCUCUCCUCCCCUUCUCCUCCUUUCCCUCUCCCUUCCCUUCCCUUCCCAUCCUUUCCCUUUCUUUCUCUUCCCUUUCCUAUUCUACCCUUCCCUUCGCUUCCCUUCCAUACCCUAUACUAACAUGUCCCAACCUACCAGUAUCUCAACCUCCAUAUUUACAAGCUUCAGUCGUUGUUGCAUUAAGUAAACAUGUAAGUCCUAAUCUGCUUCAUUCUUCCACAACCUUCCUUAGUAAACCAGUUCUUGCCUUGCUGUCUUGGGCCUGAAUACCCCUUAAAAUUUGUACCUACAUCGACGGGGGGUUGUUAUAUGUGUUCACGGUCUAGGGCAUAUCCGUCCUUUUGAGUCGUUUACUGUACGCUAACUCAGUUCCCUCACACGCAGUUCUACUUAGGGUUGCAUUGUAAGACAUUUCGACGCCCAAGAACACAUAUUUGACAAGGCUUUCGUAGGAGUUGUGGGCAUUUCCAAGAGUAGUUUUAUGACCCUGGUGGUAGUUUGACCCUUCUUCUGUAUCAUGAACCUGAAGAAACAAUCAUUAGAACCCAACUGACCCCCUCUUUGACCUUUAGAAAUAGCUGAUAUGAGAAGCGAAAGUCUCUUGUAAUACCAGCCUAAGUGUCAUUCGUCCUUAAUAGUACCAGUGAGGUCUGUGUAUGUCCCUCGUUCGUGUUUAUCCGCACACAUGUUCGAGGAAAGCGGCUCCCAAAUCUUAGAACGCAGUUUGGUAUCAUUUGGCGGUGUUCUGGGACUGUCGGGGCUUUCACACACCCAGCUACUUCAGAUAAGGCUUUCGUGGAAGUCGUGGAGUUCUUAGUAUUUCCUUGUGGGUAGUCUGGGGAGUCUAGGGAUAGUUUGGCAAGGCUUCUUCUGCACCAUUAACGUGAGAAGCACUCGUGGGAACUUUUGAUUAAAUUUCGUAGAGGUUGUGGUGGUGGUGGUAUUUCCAUGGGUAGUUUAAUGACCCUAAGGAUAGUUUGACAAGGCUUCUGCACUUUGAAUGAGGAGAAAUACUGAUGAAAACCCGACGGAUCCCCUCUGAGGCCUUUGGAAAUAGCUGUUGUAUGUACCGAAAACGCCUGAGAAUACACACAUUUGAUAAGGCUUUCCUAGAGGCUGUUGUGGUGUUAGUAUUUCCGUGGGUGGUUAUAUGAGCCUAGGGAUAGUU